RNAcentral lists this unclassified non-coding RNA (207 nucleotides) under Hevea brasiliensis (rubber tree). Lineage: Eukaryota; Viridiplantae; Streptophyta; Magnoliopsida; Malpighiales; Euphorbiaceae. The record is from RNAcentral.
AGGUAAGUACCAAAGAGGGCAUUUUCGUGGAGCUUACAUGGAGCUAAACGGGAGUAAGCUAUGGAUAUCAUUACUAGAAGAGAAAGCCAUUUUUUAAGGGUAGCUUACCUCAAUGGCAACUGCAAUUACUAAUAAGUAAGUAAUCUUAAAUUCUUAAAAUAAUUAUUGUCAUGAAAAUAUAGGAAUAAUAGAAUUUUUAUUUGGUAA